AAAAAAUAUUGACUGACUUUGGAUUUUUCUUUGGAAUAUGUAUUUUUUGGAUGGCCCUCCUUUUUGGUAGAUUUUGUUGGCACAUGUAUGAUUGUUUAGUUUUUAUUUUUUCUUGUGAUGCUUUUCUUUUUGGUUGAAAAACAGAUAGAUAUUUGGCUUAUAAAUUUUGUUUUAUGUAUUACUAUUUUAAAUUUUUUUUGGAUAUUUUUAUCGAAUUUUUUAUUGAAAUUGGAAAAGAAAGUAAUUUUUUUUUAAUGUGGUUGUGAAUUUAAUAAGUGAA
RNAcentral lists this ribosomal RNA (280 nucleotides) under Cercopithifilaria rugosicauda. RNAcentral describes it as "partial 12S ribosomal RNA". Lineage: Eukaryota; Metazoa; Nematoda; Chromadorea; Rhabditida; Onchocercidae. The record is from RNAcentral.